AAACUAAGAUGAUAAUAAAGAAUGCUUCUUAAAUAUCUGUUUAAUUUUGAAAGACUAAGUUCUUUCAAAAUUAUGUUCUUUGAAAAUUACACAUAAGUAUUAAUAAAUAGAGUAAAGCCAAUUAAAUUUACUAUUCUUUGUAAAAUUGAUUGCAACUAUCUAAAAGAUAGAAACAAAGGUCAAGCUACAAAGGGCGUAUGGUGAAUGCCUUGGCAUCAGGAGCCGAUGAAGGACGUGAUAAGCUGCGAUAAGCUUUGGGUAGACGCACAUAGUCUGAGAUCCAAAGAUUUCCGAAUGAGGAAACUCACAUGGGAAACCCCAUGUAUCGUUAACUGAAUAAAUAGGUUAACGAGGGUAAACCUAGGGAACUGAAACAUCUAAGUACCUAGAGGAAGAGAAAGAAAAAUCGAUUUUCUAAGUAGCGGCGAGCGAAAGGGAAAGAGCCCAAACCGGAAACUUGUUUCCGGGGUUGUGGAUAGAACAUAACGAGAAACUAUAACUAAUUGAAGAGAGCUGGAAANUGAGAUGUUGGGUUAAGUCCCGCAACGAGCGCAACCCUUAUUGUUAGUUGGUACCAUUAAGUUGACCACUCUAGCGAGACUGCCCGGGUUAACCGGGAGGAAGGUGGGGAUGACGUCAAAUCAUCAUGCCCCUUAUGUCUAGGGCUACACACGUGCUACAAUGGCAAGUACAAAGAGAAGCAAUACUGUGAAGUGGAGCAAAACUCAAAAACUUGUCUCAGUUCGGAUUGUAGGCUGAAACUCGCCUACAUGAAGCUGGAGUUGCUAGUAAUCGCGAAUCAGAAUGUCGCGGUGAAUACGUUCCCGGGUCUUGUACACACCGCCCGUCACACCAUGAGAGUUGGCAAUACCCGAAGUCCGUAAGCUAACCGUAAGGAGGCAGCGGCCGAAGGUAGGGUCAGCGAUUGGGGUGAAGUCGUAACAAGGUAGCCGUAGGAGAACCUGCGGCUG
This 971-nucleotide ribosomal RNA is filed under the name Sarcina ventriculi. RNAcentral's name for it is "bacterial SSU rRNA". The stretch from base 252 to 971 matches the Rfam family "Bacterial small subunit ribosomal RNA". The record is from RNAcentral. Lineage: Bacteria; Bacillati; Bacillota; Clostridia; Eubacteriales; Clostridiaceae.